AGUGGCGAACGGGUGAGUAACACGUAAGCAACCUGCCUUUAAGACGAGAAUAACAAUUGGAAACAGUUGCUAAGGCUGGAUAGGAAAUAAAAAGGCAUCUUUUUAUUUUUAAAAGACCUUCUUCGGAGGGUAUGCUUAAAGAGGGGCUUGCGUCACAUUAGUUAGUUGGUAGGGUAAUGGCCUACCAAGACGAUGAUGUGUAGCUGGACUGAGAGGUUGAACAGCCACAUUGGGACUGAGACACGGCCCAAACUCCUACGGGAGGCAGCAGUAGGGAAUUUUCGGCAAUGGAGGAAACUCUGACCGAGCAACGCCGCGUGAACGACGAAGUACUUCGGUAUGUAAAGUUCUUUUAUUGAAGAAGAAACAAUAGUGGAAAAACUAUCUUGACGUUAUUCAAUGAAUAAGCCCCGGCUAACUAUGUGCCAGCAGCCGCGGUAAUACAUAGGGGGCGAGCGUUAUCCGGAAUUAUUGGGCGUAAAGGGUGCGUAGGCGGUUUAAUAAGUCUCUAGUUUAAUUUCAACGCUUAACGUUGUCCUGCUAGAGAAACUGUUUGACUAGAGUGAGAUAGAGGUAAGCGGAAUUCCAUGUGUAGCGGUAAAAUGUGUAAAUAUAUGGAGGAACACCAGAGGCGUAGGCGGCUUACUGGGUCUUUACUGACGCUGAUGCACGAAAGCGUGGGGAGCAAACAGGAUUAGAUACCCUGGUAGUCCACGCCGUAAACUAUGAGUACUAAGUGUCGGGGUUAAACUCGGUACUGAAGUUAACACAUUAAGUACUCCGCCUGAGUAGUACGUACGCAAGUAUGAAACUUAAAGGAAUUGACGGGAUCCCGCACAAGCGGUGGAUCAUGUUGUUUAAUUCGAAGAUACACGAAAAACCUUACCAGGUCUUGACAUACUCUGCAAAACUAUAGAAAUAUAGUGGAGGUUAUCAGGGAUACAGGUGGUGCAUGGUUGUCGUCAGCUCGUGUCGUGAGAUGUUAGGUUAAGUUCUAAAACGAGCGCAACCCCUGUCGUUAAUUGCCAGCACGUUAUGGUGGGGACUUUAGCGAGACUGCCAAUGAAAAAUUGGAGGAAGGUGGGGAUUACGUCAAAUCAUCAUGCCCCUUAUGAUCUGGGCUACAAACGUGAUACAAUGGCUAUUACAAAGAGUAGCUUAAACGCGAGUUUUUGGCAAAUCUCAAAAAAAUAGUCUUAGUUCGGAUUGAAGUCUGCAACUCGACUUCAUGAAGUUGGAAUCGCUAGUAAUCGCGAAUCAGCAUGUCGCGGUGAAUACGUUCUCGGGGUUUGUACACACCGCCCGUCAAA
RNAcentral lists this ribosomal RNA (1310 nucleotides) under Lethal yellowing phytoplasma. RNAcentral describes it as "bacterial SSU rRNA". It matches the Rfam family "Bacterial small subunit ribosomal RNA", at positions 94 to 1401 of the family's 1533-position model. Lineage: Bacteria; Bacillati; Mycoplasmatota; Mollicutes; Acholeplasmatales; Acholeplasmataceae. The record is from RNAcentral.